Molecule: RNA transcript, 2007 nt
Organism: Asparagus officinalis (garden asparagus)
Lineage: Eukaryota; Viridiplantae; Streptophyta; Magnoliopsida; Asparagales; Asparagaceae
Exons: 3
Source: RefSeq, a predicted model, not a curated record
CCGACCCCCUCCUCCUCACCACCGCCCGAAAGCGCCGCCGCCCAAGCUCGGCCAAGCCCUCGACGUCCCCGUUCAGCGUCGCCGCCGUCCCCUUGCCCUAGCCAUCACCUCCCCUCCUCCUCUCCAGCUCCCGAGAUCGCCGCCGCUGAGCGUCGCCGCCGGGUCAGCGCCGUCUACUCCUCCUCGCCAUCGAACUCACCCCUCGUCAUCAGCCACGCCUCCGAUGGCAUUUGAGCUCAGCCCUCAGGUUCAUCGCCGCCUCCGGAGCUCGACCAAGCCCUCGACGUCUGCCCUCAUGGCUUCGAACAAAUUGAAAGAGUCGACGUCUUCGAAUUCUUCAAAAUCAAAGCCUACCUCUUCUAAAUGCAAUAAUCCUCCAACUUCGUAAGUAAUUUGCCAUGAUAUAUUUAAUUUUUAACUCUUUCUGAAUUAUAAUUUUUGUUGUAAGCCAUGAUGUAUAAUGUUUGUGUUAAUAAACUUGUUAAUAUGCGUCUUAAUUUGCCCAAAUAUAUUUAAUUUUUAACUCUUUCUGAAUUAUAAUUUUCUUGUAGGGCUAAGAUAACACACUUGAGAAUUCCGGCCAAUUUGUGUUAUUUUCGAGAUUUAAUUGAUAAGCGAAUAAAAUUAGAUGAAAGACACAUAAAAGCCCUACAGACGACACCUUUUCACAGCUUUCUCAAUAUACCCACAUCCUUGAGCAAUGAGCAAAUAGCAAUUGAUUGCUUGAUUCAAAAUUUUAAUCCUGAUAAAUGCUCAUUCAUGAUUGGGAAUAAAAAUUGUGUGUUCGGUAUAGAUGAUAUUCACCGAAUUACCGGAUUGCCAAAGGAGGGAAUUCCGAUAAAAAUGAGUGGGGCAGCGGCUAAUACAAUCUACACCUAUUUUGUAAAGAAUUAUAAGAAAGCCGAUGAGGAAAAGAAGGCGGUGAUUUCGGGGAAGCGCGAUAGAAUGGCCGAGAUGAUUGUAGAUAUGAUUAAUGAAGACCCUAUAAUAUGUGUGAAACUUAUUGUGGCUUUCAUUAUCGGCUUCAUAUUAUGCCCGCGGACAUGUAAGACAUGUCCCUUGUGGGCGUUUAGAUAUGCGGAGCAGUUAUCAACUUUGCAUAAAUAUAAUUGGUGCCAUGCGGUGUUCACUCUUCUUUGCAAAGAGAUGAGUAAAUCAAAGAAGUCUCUUAGUAUGCGGGAAUUAGGUCAGCGCUCAAAUGCCGGGUACAUGGGUGGUUUUUCCUCCGUUUUACUGGUGAGUUACAUGAACAUUAUUUUGUAUAUCUUCCCGUAUUGAUAAUGAUUAUUGUUUAUGCACAUGCUAAUGUGUAGUUUCUUUUUUGUAGGUUUGGUUUUAUGAAAAAGUAGGGGAAUUAGAGUACACUUCAGAUAUUGAAAGGUUACCGCCGCUCUUUUGUGUGAAGAGUACUGGAAAGUGGAGGAGGACUACUAUGAACAAAUUAUAUAGAGUCCCGAAGUUGGUUACGGAUAAUGGCCAAGAGAAUACUCCUCUUAUUCAUACGGCAUCGCCAAUAGUAUUUGAAUCAAGGAAAGCUGAAUUAAUUUUCUUAAUUGCGGAGAAGACGUACGAGUUGAAUGAGCUCACUACAGAAUUACGAGAAUUAGAAGAGCGUGGUGCUAGAUGCUAAAAAAAAACCAAGGAGAAAGAGGAUGACAGAAAUGUAACUGAAGAAAAAAAAAUCAAAGAGGAUAUGGAAGCUAAGGAAUAUGAGAAUUUGGAAGGAACUGCGGAAGCCGAUUUAUGUGAUGACUUUGUGAUGAGCCCAAGAGACAUGAGAAUUUUAGAAGAUGCUCGAGAUGUUUCUCAAAAAGAUGAAGGUGGUAAUGAGAAUAACAGAGAAACGCCAUCUAUCAAACGGGCUGUCGGAAAGAGGGAGAGGAAGGAUGGACCCUCUGUUACUUCACCUUAUAUGCAUCUAGAUCAACCAAAGGAAUGCACAAAGAAGAGACGUGUCAUCCAGAUAUUGGAUAGUCCUGAUGGGAAAAAAAAAGUACAAAAAUGAAG